Molecule: long non-coding RNA, 1454 nt
Organism: Sardina pilchardus (European sardine)
Lineage: Eukaryota; Metazoa; Chordata; Actinopteri; Clupeiformes; Clupeidae
Exons: 4
Source: RefSeq, a predicted model, not a curated record
CUUACUAAGCUUGGUCUGGUGAUAGCUAGUCUAAUCAAUUACAAACCAUUUUAUGAUCCAUAAAGAACUUUGCUCCGGGUUCACUCUCACUCUGAUCGACAGCAACCAGACUGAAGACCUAUAUGUUAGAACCUGUGAUGCAGAAGUGAAUCUACCUACCUGCUAAAGAGACCUGCUGGAAAUAGUGAUGGCAGCCAGUGCACCAUUUCCGCCAUAUCCCCAUUAUCUCCCAGAGAUCCGACUUGUCCUGCUGGGGUCUGUAGAUGAAGGCAAGAGGUCAGCAGGAAACACCAUCCUGGGAAGAGAGGAGUUUAGCUCUCAGAAAACUGCUGAAUGUGUGACAAAACGUGGAUGGGUGGGACCAAGGCAGGUCACUGUUAUCAACACACCAGGGUGGGGUAGAGAACAGCGACUUUCUCAAACCCCUCAGAAUGUUAGAGAGCAGCUUUUACAUAGUGUCUUUCCUCCAGGAGCCCAUGCUCUGAUCUUGGUCAUACGUGCAGACAGGAAGUUCACAGAAGCCAACAGGGUAGCACUGCAGGACCAUAUGGAGCUUCUUGGUGAUAGGGUGUGGAAUCACACCAUUGUGCUGUUCACCUGUGGGGACUGGCUGGGUGAUACCCCAAUUGAACAGUUUAUUCAUAGUGAAGGUAUGCCUCUCCAGUGGGUUGUGGAGAGAAGUGGUUACAAGUAUUACCGCAUCAAUAACAGCGACAGAGCAGAUGUAUCCCAGGUCUCAAGGCUGCUUGAGUUGAUAGAGAUGAUGGUGGCAGGAAACAAUGGCCAUUUUGAACUUGACAAAGAAACAUAUGACAGAGAGGCAGAGAGAGCAAAGGCUCAAGAACAAGCAAUACUAGAGAUGCAACAGAAGGCUAUGGCCAUGAGGAUGAAAUGGGGCGCUCCACCACAACCCUAAAAGUGAAUUGCUUUGACUAUCACAUUUCAUUACCAUCUUUGUUUAUUUUAAAUGGUAUUUAGAGUUGUUAGUAAUUGAAUUGGUUUUGCUAUUUUGCACUGAAAUGUAAUUAUAUUUUUGUUAUCGAGAGUUGUCUAGCAGAGCCCUCCUGCCUGAAUCUGACGGACUAGCUGACCCAGAUAAAGAGGACACUCAAUUUCAUAAUAGCAGAAUGCAAGCCACACAAGUAGAAUGUAUUAUGUAGAACUAUCAGCUUUAAUUCUUCAAUGAACUGUAAAGCUACAGUGUGCCGUAUUGGAGAAAUCAUAGAAUUGUAACCGAAUACCACUCCAUUUCCAUGCCAUUUCCAAGCAUUCGAGGGGAGGGGGUGGAAAUGGCUCAUGUUUUACAUUGUUUGUAUGACUUUUUUGUUGGUUUUUUUUUAAUUAUUUGCUUGUUUUCUGGAUUUGUGGGAUGCCAAAACGUUGUAACCUAGUAAUCUUACUGCUGUAAUUUGGCACAGUGUGAAAUGAUCUAUAUAACAUGUUACCAAUAACAA